GUCUGAUGUGGAUAUGCGGGGCUCCACUCCGUAUUGCGUUGGAAACUGCCAAACUAGAGUACUGGCGAGGUGGGCGGAACUACAAGUGUAGAGGUGAAAUUCGUAGAUAUUUGUAGGAAUGCCGAGAGAGAAGUCAGCUCACUGGACAGAUACUGACACUGAAGCGCGAAAGCAUGGGGAGCAAACA
Molecule: ribosomal RNA, 187 nt
Filed under: uncultured bacterium
Lineage: Bacteria
Description: partial 16S ribosomal RNA
Rfam family: Bacterial small subunit ribosomal RNA
Source: RNAcentral